RNAcentral lists this ribosomal RNA (372 nucleotides) under uncultured organism. Its description in RNAcentral is "bacterial SSU rRNA". It matches the Rfam family "Bacterial small subunit ribosomal RNA", at positions 526 to 896 of the family's 1533-position model. The record is from RNAcentral.
CGUAGGUGGCAAGCGUUGUCCGGAUUUACUGGGCGUAAAGAGCGCGCAGGCGGUCGGAUAAGUCGAAUGUGAAAGCCCCCGGCUCAACUGGGGAGGGUCAUUCGAUACUGUUCGACUCGAAGGCAGGAGAGGGAAGCGGAAUUCCCGGUGUAGUGGUGAAAUGCGUAGAUAUCGGGAGGAACACCAGUGGCGAAGGCGGCUUCCUGGCCUGUUCUUGACGCUGAGGCGCGAAAGCUAGGGGAGCAAACGGGAUUAGAUACCCCGGUAGUCCUAGCUGUAAACGAUGGACACUAGGUGUUGGUGGUAUCAACCCCGCCAGUGCCGUAGCUAACGCAUUAAGUGUCCCGCCUGGGGAGUACGGCCGCAAGGCUA